Long non-coding RNA from Corvus hawaiiensis (hawaiian crow), 3282 nucleotides. RefSeq lists it as uncharacterized. The record is from RefSeq and is a predicted model, not a curated record. NCBI's taxonomy places the organism in Eukaryota, Metazoa, Chordata, Aves, Passeriformes, Corvidae. The transcript is spliced from 5 exons.
CAGGGCUGGGUCUCCCACAGUAUGGUCUGGGGGCUGCAGAGCUGCAUAGCAUCAUCCAUCACAGGAAUGUCCUCCUAACAGGAGUCAUUUUGCCUGCUGGUCACAUGGUUGGAAGCCCAUCAAACAUUCUGUCCCACACCAGAGAAGAAGGAGGUAGAGAAUGCUCAUAAACACUGCUGAUCUACAAAGAUUUUCAGAAGACCAUAAAUCACCCUAAAUAGCCCAAGCCUGUGGGAGUCCUUUUCCUUGGCUUGGAAUCUUCCAAGGCAACUCAUGAAAUCUGAUGAUGUGGAGACAGAACAAAAACACAGCCCCGUCAUCCUCCCCAGGAGUCUUGGAAAACAUCCCACUGACCAGAGACAGCCCUGAAGACUCGAAUCCCAACCUCCUGGUUUGCAAUGAGCAGCCUGGCCCAGAUUCCCAGCUGUUGGACCUUGAGUAUCUGCCCUACUACAGAACAUCCCCCGUCUGUCUCUGCCCAGCAUCUCACAUCUGCGCAGAAAGAGAAAAAAGCUCCAAUGAAGGAAAGGCUAGCACUAAGCAGAAUGAGAAAAGCAUCCUGCCAAGUGUGGAGCAGAUCAAGAGGACAAUUUCUUCUACAAGCAAGGAAGAGCCCCCAGCCCAGCAGCUCCUGGGGGCCAGCAGCUCUGCACUCUGCCUGCCCCUGGCCUCCCUCCCCAGUGAGCUCCCACACCUGAACCAGCCCCUUCCCUCCAGUGGGUACUUUCCUUAUUACAGGACAGAGGCAGGCAUUGGCCCAGCUCCAAGAAAAGGGUCCUUCACCAGGACAGAAGGUCUGGAGACCAAAGAGGGAGGACAAAGGGGAGGACCGAAUGUUUGGAAUCUCUGUGGCAGCUGCUUGGUGUCCUGAGAAGAAAGCAGCGGGUUUGUGAAUGCAGACGUGAAGGAGAAACUCUUGAAGCCUAUGACAAUAUGAAAAUCUGCAUGAAUUUGAAUAAAAUAAAAAUAUUCAUUCUCUCAAACAAAACAACAAGUGAAAUCCCAGACUGCAUUAUGAAAGCAGAAAGAAGCAGAACAGGAACUGGGGAAAUAAAUAAUAAACUUUCUCUAGAGGUGAGGAAGAGAACUGUGCUUCUCUGUAGCUAAUACCAAAGGCAAGACACUCACUCGAGGGAUGCGCAGCUAUGGGAAGUGGCCAAUAGGAAAAAAAAGAGAAUUAUUUAAACCUAAGAUGCUUGGAGGAAUUAAACAGAGACAGAAUUUCCAAUUGGGAUUGGGAAAUACAUUUCCUUUCCUCCUCACUACAAUCCUUCCAUUGUAUUACUGGCAUCUGUUAGACCUGGUUACUGUGCACAACAGCCAUACACAGGAGAAAAAAACCCCCAUUUUUAUUUAAAUUCUUUGUCAAUAUGAUUUUUUGAGCACGUUUCCAUUAUGUCUGUCUUCAUUUCACUUGCACAGUCAGUAAUGAAAAUACUCUUGAUUACUUUAAUAUGUGCAACUAGGAGCUUCUAUAAACAUCAGUUUGAUGCUGGAAAACUGGGAAAUAGCAUCCAGAAAUAUUUUGGCAUUGGUGAAUCUUGACUGAUUUACACCAGAUGAGAAUCUAACCAAAAAGGGUCAGCUCAGUAUUUUCUUUGCAGUUGUGAAAUCUUGCAACAUCCUCUCCUUACUGCCAACUAUGUCACCUCCUCGAGACACCACACGACUCAAUGAAACACGGCUUUUUCCCAUCCCUGCACUGUGCACAGACCAAUUCUGCUCAAAAUAGAUGUGUUUACUCCAACCACUUAGUAAAUCUUCAAGUGUUUCUGUAAUGAUUACACAUUGGUAUGACAGUGUAUUGACAGGCUGUGUCUAAAUGUACCAGUGUUACCUAUUUUAAGGAUUGAAGAAGAAAAACACAUCACAUUUCACUGUUUCACAUCUCCAUAGGUAGACCAGUUUUCCCUGUGGUAAGUGUGACACUGAGACCAGGAACGCUACAGCCAUGCAAGGUACAUUAUGGUUUUAGUAAUAAUUUCUGCUUACACCACACUUUGGUGGGUUUUGACCAGUUGGGAAGGGAUUUUGGUUGGAUGCUGGAAACCAGCAGAGCUCCCAGAUGGGAGCUUUGAUCCCAGUCUUUCUUAUAGGCACUGCUGAGGAUGAAGUGGUGCCUCACCCCCAGGUUUGUAAAAAAUAUGUUAAAAAACCUGGAGUCAGCCAGACUGGUGAAAAUUAAUCCCAGUGCCCUCACACAGCUGCCCCAGCUGGAAUCAGGAAUGCAAGUCGAGCAACCAGCAUGCCUUCGGCAUCCCUGCAUUCCCAAGGGCACCUCAGUACCAUCCUGCCACCUUCCCACUGAAAAACAAGGUAAAUCAGAUUCCAGAUGAACUAAGUCACACUGUAUGAAACAGCCCCUGGUUUUAAGCACAAAGAAGGCUGACGCCUUGGGUACGUUGAAAGAAAGCCAUGCUAAAUAGAGUGAGAUUAUCAAAACUCAAGGGAUCAGGCAGAGGAGGGAAGGAAUUCUGUCUGAAAAGCAGGUGUGGAUUAUUCUGAGAAUAUUAAAUUCAGGAUUUCCAUAAAUUUGGCAUAUUUAAAUACUUUGAACUAUGUAGUAUCAAAUCCACAAAUCUGCCUGAUUUUUACUAGAUAGAAAGCCAGCUUUCUAUUGGCUGUACUUGAUAAUUUAUGGCAAUAGUGAACAUCAGAAAUCAAGGAUUUGGGAGAUGAGAAUAUUACAAGCUUUAUGCUUAUGGAUCAGAGAAGCCGAAUUUUAAUCAAAAGCUGGCAAAUAUCAUAUCAUAUGUUGCCAUCUUGAAACUGGAGCUGAGCAAAACUCAUGAUUCUAAUGUAUUUUCCAUACAGUCUUGCUCAGAGGUAAAAAGGAAAGGAUGGAGGGCAGUGCUGGGAGCUUCUGUGUUUCUCUCUAGGUUUAUGCUACUUUAUUACUUUUCCACAUAGUUAACAUCCUGUACACAGGCAGCAAACGAUUUUUCUCAAACUGCUCCAUGGAUCAGAUUCCUGCCUCAGUGAGGACAUCAUGUGCCUUCACCCCAAGAGUGGUCCCAGUCACACAGUUUGGUUCAUCCUUGUGUACUGAUAAUGUAUUUCCUUUCAUCUCUCUAUUUGAAAAAUUCAUAAUUACUGCCCUAAACCUUCAGUACUUAAACACUCACAGUCCUCUGGAGUUUGAAAAACAAUCCCCAAUUACUUUGAUGCAUGCUGUGUCAUCUUCAUUGAUCCCAUUUAAGCUUUUAAUCUCAUGAAUUCACAAAGUUAAUUCAUAAAACAAACCAAACAAACCAUGGCAAAAUAUGCCCUUUAAUAAAAAAA